GAAACUGGAGCUAAUACCGAAUAAGACCACGAGGUCCCCGGACCUUGCGGAAAAAGGUGGCCUCUUCUUGAAAGCUAUCGCCUGUUGAUGAGCCCGCGUCCCAUUAGCUUGUUGGUGAGGUAAAAGCUCACCAAGGCAUCGAUGGGUAGCUGGUCUGAGAGGGUGAUCAGCCACACUGGAACUGAGACACGGUCCAGACUCCUANGGGAGGCAGCAGUCGGGAAUCUUGCACAAUGGGCGAAAGCCUGAUGCAGCAACGCCGCGUGAGGGAUGAAGGCCCUCGGGUCGUAAACCUCUGUCGGAAGGGAAGAAAGUAUUUCGGGCCAAUACCCCGAAGUAUCGACGGUACCUUCAAAGGAAGCGCCGGCUAACUCCGUGCCAGCAGCCGCGGUAAUACGGAGGGCGCGAGCGUUAUUCGGAAUUAUUGGGCGUAAAGCGCGUGUAGGCGGCUGGGCAAAGUCGGAUGUGAAAGCCCGGGGGCUCANCCCCGGAAUUGCAUACGAAACUGCUCAGCUAGAGUCUCG
RNAcentral lists this ribosomal RNA (524 nucleotides) under uncultured bacterium. Its description in RNAcentral is "bacterial SSU rRNA". It matches the Rfam family "Bacterial small subunit ribosomal RNA", at positions 153 to 651 of the family's 1533-position model. The record is from RNAcentral.